Molecule: transfer RNA, 72 nt
Filed under: Camelus bactrianus (Bactrian camel)
Lineage: Eukaryota; Metazoa; Chordata; Mammalia; Artiodactyla; Camelidae
Also listed under: 2 other names
Rfam family: tRNA
About the family: Transfer RNA (tRNA) molecules are approximately 80 nucleotides in length. Their secondary structure includes four short double-helical elements and three loops (D, anti-codon, and T loops).
Source: Rfam by way of RNAcentral
GAGGGUAUAGCUCAGUGGUAGAGCAUAUGCUUAACACGCACAAGGUCCCGGGUUCAAUCCCCAGUACUGCCA